This 104-nucleotide ribosomal RNA is filed under the name Amphilophus citrinellus (Midas cichlid). The record is from RNAcentral. Lineage: Eukaryota; Metazoa; Chordata; Actinopteri; Cichliformes; Cichlidae.
GUUUGGGUUCAUACCACCCUGAACCCACCCAAUAUUGGAAAGUAAGCAGGGUCAGGAUUGGUCAUACUUGGACAGGAGACUGGGAAUACCAGGUGCUGUAAGCU